UGGGGAAUUUUGGACAAUGGGCGAAAGCCUGAUCCAGCAAUGCCGCGUGUGUGAAGAAGGCCUUCGGGUUGUAAAGCACUUUUGUCCGGAAAGAAAUCCUUGGCUCUAAUACAGUCGGGGGAUGACGGUACCGGAAGAAUAAGCACCGGCUAACUACGUGCCAGCAGCCGCGGUAAUACGUAGGGUGCAAGCGUUAAUCGGAAUUACUGGGCGUAAGCGUGCGCAGGCGGUUUGCUAAGACCGAUGUGAAAUCCCCGGGCUCAACCUGGGAACUGCAUUGGUGACUGGGCAGACUAGAGUAUGGCAGAGGGGGGUUAGAAUUCCACGUGUAGCAGUGAAAUGCGUAGAGAUGUGGAGGAAUACCGAUGGCGAAGGCAGCCCCCUGGGGCCAAUACUGACGCUCAUGCACGAAAGCGUGGGGAGCAAACAGGAUUAGAUACCCUGGUAGUCCACGCCCUAAACGAUGUCAACUAGUUGUUGGGGAUUCAUUUCCUUAGUAACGUAGCUAACGCGUGAAGUUGACCGCCUGGGGAGUACGGUCGCAAGAUUAAAACUCAAAUGAAUUGACGGGGUCAUAGCUGUUUCC
RNAcentral lists this ribosomal RNA (586 nucleotides) under uncultured bacterium. RNAcentral describes it as "partial 16S ribosomal RNA". It matches the Rfam family "Bacterial small subunit ribosomal RNA", at positions 355 to 937 of the family's 1533-position model. The record is from RNAcentral.